RNAcentral lists this ribosomal RNA (207 nucleotides) under uncultured bacterium. RNAcentral describes it as "partial 16S ribosomal RNA". It matches the Rfam family "Bacterial small subunit ribosomal RNA", at positions 568 to 774 of the family's 1533-position model. The record is from RNAcentral.
UUCGUAGGUGGCCAACUAAGUCAGACGUGAAAUCCCUCAGCUUAACUGGGGAACUGCGUCUGAUACUGGAUGGCUUGAGUGUAGGAGAGGAAUGCGGAAUUCCAGGUGUAGCGGUGAAAUGCGUAGAUAUCUGGAGGAACACCGGUGGCGAAGGCGGCAUUCUGGACUACAACUGGCACUGAGGAACGAAAGCCAGGGGAGCAAACG